AAUUUGAAUAUUAAUCUCAGUGUGUAUUUUUUAAAUCUCAGUGUGUAAUUAACAAUUCUCAGUGUGUGUUUUUCAAUUUAUUUCAUCUCAGUGUGUCUUUUAAAAAUCUCAGUGCGUAAUUUUGAAUUCUCAGUGUGUGUUUUUUAUUUUUUUAAAUCUCAGUGUGUAAUUUAGAUUUCUCAGUGUGUUAUUUUAGGUUUUUAA
This 204-nucleotide long non-coding RNA is filed under the name Mytilus galloprovincialis (Mediterranean mussel). The record is from RNAcentral. Lineage: Eukaryota; Metazoa; Mollusca; Bivalvia; Mytilida; Mytilidae.